This 5931-nucleotide long non-coding RNA is filed under the name Marmota monax (woodchuck). The record is from RNAcentral. Lineage: Eukaryota; Metazoa; Chordata; Mammalia; Rodentia; Sciuridae.
CUCUGUUUCAGCUUUCAGUCACCCCGUCCCAGUAACAAGAGGCAAGACACAGAGCUGUCAGCCAGUCCGUAGACACCUCCAGAGGUAGGUGGGGUUCAGGUCUUGAGGCUUGCGCUGUUGUUUGUGGGGUGCUUGGGUGUGUUCCCGUCCAGGUGGGGGCAAUGCUGUUCCUAGGACCCGCAUUUCUACAAUCCCUAGGUCACCUUCUUGUUUUGUUCAAAUAAGGAAACAGAGAGAGAGGUAAUGUGACCUGUCUGAGGUCCCGAAAAGUAAAAGGGGCACAGACAAAACCAGCAUUCCUGACUCUGAAUCCAGAACUUUCUCGUAACAGUAUCUGGGAAACCCAGGAUCCCAUAUUUUGGGGGUCAGCAGUAGCUCUCGUGUCAUUCUGACACCUGUAGAUCUUUUAAUUAUCUUGCACUUUAUCUCAGAUGACCAAAGAAUUCACCUAGAACUCUGUAUGUGAGAAGCGCCCAGCCUGGACAGGAUCUGAGAAGUGUCCCGGCCGUGAUGGCGUCUCUCCUCUGAGAUAAUUCAGUGUUCUUAAAGUGUGCAAGAAAGGGAUUAGGCAUCUCCAGGAUCCUGAACACCUCUUGGGGGCCAUGAUGUUAGAACAAGAAUGUGACCUUCUAAAUGAACAGAUCUUAAAGCUCUGGAAAACUUGAGUCUAGGAUGAUAUUUUUGAAUACAAAGAAACAGCCUCAUAGAACCAAUGGCUUUGGGUUUACUGGGUUUCUGUCUCUAGGUUCCAGUCUUCCUCUUUUUUCCUGCAAAAGGCAGGUGCCAGGAACCCGGAGGCUCACUGCAAUCCAUGCCCACCCUCAGCCAGGUGGCCCAUACCGCGCAUCCCCACCUGGAGGUGGGUCACAGAGUCUAAGCACUGCAUGCCCACCUCACACGGUGCUUGCUGGUGUCUUUGCGGGAUCAGAAUACUCAGGGCCUUGGGUUCAAAGGCUGGGCAAACUGCCCUGGUUAGUUAACGUCCCUGUGCAAAGAAUGCGAGUGAUUUGCAGGAUUUCUGGAAAUCUACCAUGCUUCAAAGAUGGAUCUCUGAUAGCCUGAAGUUCUCUUAAUUGGCCUUCACCAAUUAAGCUGUAUUUUUUGUCAUAAAUGUCACCCAGUGGUAAAUGAAGUCUCAACUUCUCAACUUGGCAAUGUUCUAUCAUCCUGCCCACUGAGGCAAGCCAGCAGGGACUUGGUUUGAAUGGAGAAGGUCCAAUAGCAGAAACAAGUGUUGAGGAGUGGAAACCCCCAAACACCUGAUUGUUCACAAUUUCUCCUUUUCUUUCUCUCCCUAAUCUCUUGCCUCUCCUCCAAUCUUCUAAAACCAGUUUUCCUAAAAGUCAGUGUAUCUAGUGAUUCUUGUACCUAAACCAACUUCCAAAUUUCACAAAUGCCAAGAGGAGAAAGAGUCUUCGCAGUUCCUUUCAAGUGAUCUCUGCAGUUACACCUGCUUUUCAGCAGAGUAGUCUUGGUGGGUAUCUAGAGCAGCACUGUUCAGUAGGACUUUUUUGAUAAUAGAAAUGCUCUGUCUUGAGUUACCCUGAAGUAAUGGCCCCUGGCUACCUGUGGCUACUGAGUACCUAAGAUGGCCAACAAUUGGAUUUUUAAUUUGAUUUAAUAAAUUUGAAUGAUGGCCCACAUGAUGAUGUGGCCAAGGGCUGUCCUAUUGGACAGUAUAGACGAGUCUCCUCCGUUUGGGUUGAAAACUUCUGAACAAGCAUGAAGACUUUCAGAGAGAUGGACAAUCACCACCUGUUGUCACAAUAUCAGAAUUUUACCCUUUGCUGUGUCUCUUUGAUAUUCCUCCCUUUUUGGUCUCAGGAAGAUAGAGCAGCAGACAGAGAGUGAAGGGGGCAGAGGUGAGCAGGAGGGAGUCUCCCUCCCUGACUCUCCUCCAUCAGUCCUGGGAGUUAGGUGGCUGGCCCAGGUUCCAGAGCUGAGAGGUGGGGGUUAGGAUUCCAGCUCAAGCCUCUCUUACUCUGGUGCCCACAUUCUUUCUUCUGUAAAAUACUAAGCAGCAAACAAAUGACCUUGGUGUUGCCUAGGGUAGGACAGGUGCAGGGAGGGAGCAGCCCAUGUCCAGGGGGUAGAAAUGCAACUCAACUCUUGGUGAGAAAAUUGUGGCAGCGAGCCCAGGAACGCUUCUCCAUUAACUCAUGCUAUAAAAAACAAUAUCAUAUGUGCCAAACUUCAGCGGUAAGGAGGUUUAUCUGGAUAUUCUUCUGUCAAGAAGAAAGGAGAGGGGGUGCUGGGGAUGUGGCUCAAGUGGUAGAGCGCUCCCCUGGCAUGCGUGAGGCACUGGGUUCGAUCCUCAGCACCACAUAAAAAUAAAAUAAAAAUAUUAUAUCCAUCUAAAACUAAAAAAUAAAUAUAAAAAAGAAGGAAGGAGAUAUUCAGGCCUUCAGAACAUGAGGAAUGAUAAUAAUUGGACUGUUGGCAUGACUUGUAUGAUGUCAUCAAGUCUUUGCUUUUGUUUUUUUCAAAAUGGCUAGUUAUUUCCUUUGUUUCUUCAGGAAAACUUAGAAAAGACAAAUUUUAUGUGACUCUUCAACCACAGGCUAGCUUCUCAAUUUAUUAAUUCAAUUGUGCUGGCCCAGGCCCAUGCAAUUAACAACCCCAUAAGCUGUUGAUAGCUGUGGCCUCUCUCCUCCCUCAGAAGUCACAGGACAUGGUCAAGAUCCCUCCUAUGCCAUUACUUUAGUGCUUCAGGUUUCUGCUCCUCCUGUCCAAGCUGACUGUCUCCCAGGACGGAGAGGAGUGGGGAGAGUCGUGGCACGUCAGAUAGCAUCAUAAGCUGGCUUUGUGCUCACCUCCCGGCUCUUCUGGAGGAGACUUCGCGGGUUCCUUGGAGACAUAAAAUGUCAUCUGGCCAGUUAUAACUUGGACACCUCCCAAACUGCAGCCCUCCUCUCUGCUACCAAAGCCACGUUAGCCAGAUGCCCACACUUUCAGAGUCUCUUGACCCUAACACAAAUAUAUUGGGUGCCCAUCCGCUUCUGGGGACAUGCAAUAAACUCUCAGGAUGGCCUUCACAUUCACUUCAAGGUCCCCUUUACAGGCUGGGGACAUAGCUCAGGUUGGUAGAGUGCUUGCCUCGCAUGAACAAGGCCCUGGGUUUAAUCCCCAGGACCAUAAAAUAAAAAAAAAAAAAAAGCAGAAGAAGAUCCUCUUUCCAAUCCCUUCAACUCGGCGUCAUCUCUGUGGGUGUUUCAUGAGCCCUAACCUGUUGUUGCCAACAACUUUUCUCAAGUUCUGCUGAAUGAACAGUUUCUUUGACUUUGGAAUCAAUCUACGACCUUUUAAAAAAAAAUCUGGAAAAUGAACUUAAGAGUGAAAACAGGAUUUUCCUAGUAUAGUUAGAUUGAAAGUGCACAGGGCUAAGAAUACUGGUUAAUAUUUAAUGAGCACUUGUCAUGCAUUAUGGUAGUUUGCCAGGGCUGCCUUAGGAAAGUAUCAUAAUGAGGGAGCUUAAACAAAAUAGAUCUAUUUUGUAACAAUUCUGGAAGCUAGAAGUCCAAGACCAAGGUGUCAGCCGGACUGACUCCUGGUGGAGGCUGUGGUAGAGGCUCUUCCACACCUCUGGUCUGAUCCAGGACCUCUUGUCUUAAUGCCUUCACUGAAGUGUCCACUGUACCCCCCAUUACAUAUAUUUUCAGAUUAAAUACCAGGACACAUAAUGUGUCUGAUUUCAUAAAAAAUGACUGUGACAUUAAAGUAUACUCAUGUACUCGUCCUCUCUAGGUGGUGAACUACGGAUUUAUUUUACAAAUUAUAUAAUCUGAAGAUUGGUCAUUUUAAAUCAUAAAACAAUGCAAUUUUUUUAAAAGAAAAGCAAUGCCUAGCUUGGGAGUUGAACUGUGGUCGGUACUAGAGGAAGAAGAGUAGGAAAAAGAAUAACUUAAUAUGAUAAUAAGCACUUUCCCUCUCUCUCCUACCCUCUUCUCCUCGGCCCCCUUUCUACCUCCACCCGUCUUCCGCCAGAAGUCAACCCAACACACGCAGAGCCAACCAUGAGGCUGGGGAUUCUCCUGCUGAUCCUGUUCGCCUGUGGGGUUGCAGUGCUUCUGCCUGUUCUGGGAAGCUUCAGGAACAAAGAGGGUAGCGGUGGUGGUGUGGGAAGGGGGGGCGGUGCUCUGUCCAGUUCUGGGGAUCUCUCAUAGCUGGUUCAGGACCCACAUUUCCAGGAUCAGCCUUUAAAGAACCAGAGCCCUCUUUAACCGAGACAUCCAAGCAAGAUGGCAUCCCUCCAAGCUUCCUCCCCAUCCCUGGAAGCAAAUUGAGUGUAUGGAAAGGGAGCACAGCUUUUGCCUACAAUCAUGAACUAGCAGGGAAUAAUAUUUCCCAAUGUGAGGGUAUCCAGCUGGAAUAAGGGAAAUAUCGACACAGAGCUUCCCUUUGAGGCCAUAUUUUCAGAUCUCUGUGCCCCAAGGGGAUGAGCCUUUGAUGAGGGCCAAAAGGAUGAUGUUUAACACAUGCAUAUUUAAUUUGAAGGGAAGAACAUCUUAGAACACACAAAAAAAUGAAAAAGACAAAUAAGGAGUCUUUAAUGGAUCGUGGGGUCAUAUGAUUAAAAAGUGAGGCUAACUGAGCAGAAAUGUGGUGAUCAGUGAGAGCAAAGAAUCUAGGAAGAGGGUGAGUUCAUUGGUGGUAUCAACAGGGGACAAAUAGGAAGGGAGACAAUUAGGUUCCUAUUCUCCCUUAGCUCAGGUUUCCCGUUCUGCUAAUCAGAUAUGGAAACUGGAGCUAGAGGAUAUGGUUAGCCUUAAAAACUAAGGUUAUAUGAGAAUGAAUUUAGUGGUGUGGUGUCAUACACAGUGAGGGUAUCCCAGGUGUUGUCUUUAGUACCCAGAAUCCUGCAGGCCUGUGGUAACGUGGAAGGAGGGAGCAUAUGUCAUGUAAGUGAGAUUCAGUUUCACUCACAAUACAUGUCACCAGAAGUGGUCAGUAGGCAUCUCUGGGGAAGAGAUGCUGGUUAGAAUUUGAGGAAGGAAUUUUCUUGGAGGUCAGAGAACUACUUCGCUUGCGACCUGAAGCCCUAGUUCCGGAAAGGUUUCUUCAGCUUGAAAAGGGUUUCUUCAGGUUGUAAGUGGAGGGACCCUGCCAACUUCUACCAUCUCCAUUUCAGUUGAAGAAAAAGAAACUGAACAGUGCUGGGUGCAGCCUCCAUCAAAGUACUGUGAGAAAAGGUGCACGAAGUCCCUGAGCUGUUUAAUUCCAAACCAUACAUGCUGCUGGACUUACUGUGGAAACAUCUGCCUGGACAAUGAGUAAGUUGGUUGGUUGGCAGGUUAGGACCUGGGUGUGCUUGAUGUCUGCUCUGCACUCACCAGUCAGAAGCUGGUCACCUCAUUAGAAGACUACAGUCACCCAAAUUCCAGUCUCUAAAUCCAGGCCACCACUCUGCAAAAUAACCAAAACAGCAACUUUUUCCUCCAGUUUCAUUUUGUAUUUCAAAACAUCAUUCUAUAUAUCCUUCCUUUGUCCAAGGACCCAAUUACUGGUCUCUUUCUCUCAACCAGACCCAAGGAGACCUGAUCUCCAGCUGUUUGGAAAGUCAGCAAACCUCUUGGGAAAAAAAAAUUGGUUGGAAUUUGGUGACUCCUGAUGUAACAGAAAGAGUUUCUGUUCUCCUCUGGAACAGAGGAUGCUAGUAAGUUUGGAAACAGAUUUCCCCAAGGGCUUCUGACUUCUAAUCACCUAGCAUUUCUCUUCCAGAGAGCCCAUGAAAACCAUGCUAAACCCCUAGGUUCUGCGUGACCCAACUCAGGCGUGGGCGCGGGAUGGCUGUGUGGUCUGGGAAGAGUGCUGCCUGGCUCCCUGGUGGGACACUUGCUUGCUCCAGCUGAGGAUCUUGCUGGAAUCUCCUCGAUCUCUACGUCCUGAAAAGGUUCAAGGUUUUUCCCAAAUAAACUAAUAUAUCAAUCAUAA